GUUUGAUUCUGGCUCAGAUUGAACGCUGGCGGGAUGCUUUACAUGCAAGUCGAACAGCAGCACGGACUUCCGGUCUGGUGGCGAGUGGUGAACGGGUGAGUAAUGUAUCGGAACGUGCCUGGUAGCGGGGGAUAACUGCACGCAGCGUAGCUAAUGCCGCAUACGCCCUUCGGGGGAAAGCGGGAGACCUUCGAGCCUCACUUACUAUUAGAGCGGCGAUAUCGGAUUGCUUAGUUGGUCAGGUAACGGCUCACCAAGGCGACGAUCAGCUGGUUUGACGACAACCACACUGGGACUGAGACACGGCCCAGACUCCUACGGGAGGCAGCAGUGGGGAAUUUUUGGACAAUGGGGAAACCUGAUCAGCCAUCCCACGUGUGCGAUGAGCCUUCCGGGUUGUAAAAGCACUUUUGGCAGGAAAACGGCGCGGGAUAAUACCCCGUGCAACUGACGGUGCCCCUGCAGAAUAAGCACCGGCUAACUACGUGCCAGCAGCGCGGUAAUACGUAGGGUGCAAGCGUUAAUCGGAAUUACUGGGCGUAAAGCGUGCGCAGGCGGUUCGGAAAGAAAGAUGUGAAAUCCCAGAGCUUAACACUUUGGAACUGCAUUUUUAACUACGAGCUAAGUGGCUGACCAGAAUUGGAAUUCCGCGUGUAGCAGUGAAAUGCGUAGAUAUGCGGAGGAACACCGAUGGCGAAGGCAGCCUCCUGGGGGAUACCACUGACGCUCAUGCACGAAAGCGUGAAGACAAACAGAAAGUUAGAUACCUGGUGAUCCGCCCUAAACGGUGUCAGCAACAUGUUGGGGCCUUCCGGGCCUUGGUGGCGCAGCUAACGCGUGAAGUUGACCGCCUGGGAAGUACGGUCGCAAGAUUAAAACUCAAAGGAAUUGACGGGGACCACCUGACGGUGGAUGAUGUGGAUUAAUUCGAUGCAACGCGAAAAACCUUGCCUACCCUUGACAUGUCCGGAAUCCCGAAGAAUUUGGGAGUGCUCGCAAGAGAACCGGAACACAGAGUGCUGCCUUGGCUGUCGUCAGCUCGUGUCAUUGAGAUGUUGGUUGAAGUCCCCCGCAACGAGCGCAACCCUUGUCAUUAGUUGCUACGAAGAGGCACUCUAAUGAGACUGCCGGUGACAAACCGGAGGAAGGUGGAGGAUGACGUCAGUCUCAUGGCCCUUAUAGGUAGGGCUUCACGUCAUGCAAUGGUCGGGACAGAGGUCACUUCAACCCGCGAGGAGCCAAUCCCAGAAACCCGAUCGUAAUUGGAUCGCAGUCCGCUCGACUGCGUGAAGUGGAAUCCUUCAAUAAUCGCGGAUCAGCAUGUCGCGGUGAAUACGUUCCCGGAAUCUUAUACACCAUAAUCACACCAUGGGUGAUUUUGCAGAAAUGGAUUGCUUCUUAAGCUAAGGAGGGCGAUUUUCACGGGCCGAGAUUCUGCCUGACUGGGAAUUGAAGUCGUAACAAGGUAA
This 1469-nucleotide ribosomal RNA is filed under the name uncultured Bordetella sp. RNAcentral describes it as "partial 16S-23S ribosomal RNA intergenic spacer". It matches the Rfam family "Bacterial small subunit ribosomal RNA". Lineage: Bacteria; Pseudomonadati; Pseudomonadota; Betaproteobacteria; Burkholderiales; Alcaligenaceae. The record is from RNAcentral.